GUCUUGAUUACUGCAAAGAGAACGUGGUCCCCACAGACUGGGUACAUGUUUAGACCUUCAGAGCUUAGAGGAGACCACUUUUAGGGCUAGUUUUCAGGAACACCUGGUGCUGGUGGUUUAAGGAGAAGGCAGGGUUUGGGAUGUGCUCUCCUGCAGCGCUCUGCGCGUUGAAGAACCCGGCUCUGGGCUGGACUCCCAUCAGCCGAGCACCGAGGCCACCCAGGAGAUGGUGCUCUUGAACCAGCAAACGGCGCAGCCCUGACCCAGAAGCAUCCUUCAACGCAGCCCUCCCUGUUUUCUUCUUGUGUUGCACGUUAUUCUUUGGGAUUCCCGUUUUCUUUGGGGAGAAGAAUGUGCUGGUGUUGAGCCCGGAGUGUAUUCCCCUCCGAUCCAUAAUGCGAUUCCCAGGCAGGUGAUCCUAUGCCCGCGUCUGAAAUGACGCUGGUGCUCAAAGGAGGCGUUUUUUCCCUGGACUGCGUGGCUGGCAAGAUGCUAGAGCCGAGCAGGGAGCAGCUUCGUGGCUGAUUGCCCUGACCAGAGCCUGGGACGUGCUGCACCCAAGCCAAACAUCUGCUGGGUGCUGGCUCCAUCGCUACCAAGGGUGGUGAGCAGCAAGACUGGGUGCAGGGGCUCCCCACGGCCUCCCUGCCAUCCCACAGGACAGCCUGUUCCUGCAGACACGUGUCUCGGAAAGAAUAAUCCUCUGGGGCUUUUAUGCAUGUCUGGUUUCAUCAGAUUCAGGGGAUAUUUCAGUGCCUGUAGAAAAAGAAGCAACACAACUUCCUUACCUUGCAAAGAAAAUCACGAGGCACGUUUUUGUUUCUUUUGCAAAGCAGCUUAGUGUCUAUCUGUUGAGAAGCCGUUUGGGAUUCAUGGACUGAAGGUACCUUUAUUCUUUUUUUUUUUUUUUCCUGUGCAAAAUAUCUGCACCUCUUGACCCCUCUUUCAUCCACUUCAUGUUCUAGUUGCUUGUCUUAAUAUAAGCAGUCUCUGAGUUGGCAACAUUUCAUGCAGGGGCACUACACUACCCUCAGCUUCUCUGCAAUUAAUAUUCUGUCCUGUCUCUUAAGCCCGGCCCUGUGUUCCUAAUGUCAGUUUGGCUUUGUUUAAUAUGACCAGCAAGGUAGCAUGUGUUUCCAAGCUGAGUCCUGCUGCCAUUUCUGGAGGUAUCUCCCAUUAAUCAAGAAGGCUACUUUGUCAUAGUGCAGCUAAUGUUAUCACCAAACUUUAAGUACAGAGGUGGAAUAAUAAUGGCUCCUGUUUCACUAAAUGGGGUUAACACAGCUGAAUAGCUUCCCUGAUGGUUUAUUAUGUUAGUCUUUCAGAACAUUGACUGAUUUGUUUUUAUUACCAAGAAAGCUUUUGUCUUAUGAAAAUGACUUGGGACCACAGGUCAAUGUUUUUCAUGUCACAUCUCCAUAAGAAAUACAUUGCUUCAUUAUAUUUUGUAUUCUGCCACUGCAAUCUGUAUGGCACUUAAAUUUAUUUGUCAUGACACCACUGCCAGGCUGCCAUUAAAUUGUUAAAGGAUAUUCAGGAAAUGUUUUUGCAGUAACCUUUAGAGGAAGACGUAUGGAAAUGGACUAUAUCUGUUAAUUGACUUUUUGAUAUGCAAAUCUUCCAAAGUGUAAGGC
Cairina moschata (Muscovy duck) is the source of this 1634-nucleotide long non-coding RNA. NCBI's taxonomy places the organism in Eukaryota, Metazoa, Chordata, Aves, Anseriformes, Anatidae. The record is from Ensembl.